AGGUAAGCAGGGGGAGCUGGGAUCCGAACCCAGGCCCCCUAGACCAUUAACCACUGGAUGCCAUAAGAGCCCAGAUACAGUCAGAUGAUGGGGGGAAAACACUCAACAAAGUAUUUCAGGUCAGAAGGCCCCAAGAAGAAAGGAAGGACUUCUUAGGCCAGUGGGGCAGGUGGUCUGGAAGGUGCUGAGGAGGGGACAUUUGAGCUCGGACUCUGAAGAGGCUAUGGGGGAAGACUCAUGUAGGGAGAGAGAAGAGCUAGUGCAAAGGCCCUGGGGUGGGAACCAGCUCAGCCUGCAGGAGAAAUUGCCUGAAGUCCAGCGUGGCUGUGGAGCCCUGAGUGAGGGGAGAGCGGAGGGAGAAGAGGUGGGAGAUAUCUGGACUCACCUUGGUCAGUGCUGGGAACCCAGAGAGUAAUUUGACCCCUCCCGCCCUCAAGGAGCUCUCAGUGUGAGGAUGGAAGCCAAGGACAGCCCAGUGGGAUCAACGGUUAUAGUGGAGGGUGAGGGUUGGCUUCCCAGGGCAGGGACCACUGCAUGUCAAUCAUUCUUUUUUGUUUUUGCAGAUGAAGUCUCAUUCUGUCACCCAAGCUGGAGCCUGGAAUGCAAUAGUGUGAUCCUGGUCCACUGCAAACUCAACCUCCUGAGUUCAAGUGAUUCUCCUUAGUAGCUGGGAUUACAAGUGUGCACCACCAUGCCUGGCCAAUUUUUGUGUUUUUAAUAGAGAUGAAGUUUCACCAUGUUGGCCAGGCUGGUCUCAAACUCCUGACCUCAGGUGAUCCGUCCGCGUCUGCCUCCUAAAGUGCUGGGAUUACAGGCAUGAGCCACCAUGCCCGGCCCACAUGUCAAUCAUUCUUUUCUGCACUCGCUCUGUCUUGGUCCUACUCUGUGUCUAACCCUGUGACAAGUCCUGAUGACGCAGACUUGAAGACAUGAAACAACCCCUGCCCUCUGAGACCUUACAACCAAGUGAGCAAGACAGCCACCAAUCCCCAUAAGUGAUGGUAUAGAGGAUUCAGUUCCCCGGGGUCAAGGAUGGCUUCCUGGAGGAGGUGACCUCUGACCAGUGCCUGGAUCAAGUAUUGAUGCAGAAAAACAGGCAGGUGGAAGGGACAGCUUGGGCAAAUUCGUGGAGGUGGUGUGGGAGUGUAGAAAAACUCCCAUCCUUCAGCAUCUGUUUGUGGAUGCUUCCAUAUGCCAAGUUGUGGUCUGGGGGCUGAGGAGAGUGAGAAAUAGUCCCUGCUUUCUAGCCCUGAAGAUCUGGUUGGGGCACUGACAAGUGAACAGACCUAAGCAAUUGAUUGUAAUAAACCCCAUACUGGGGGCAGCCCAGGCCAGACACAGAGGACUGGGGAGAGAGGGCCACAGGAAGGGUUUCCUGGAAGCUUGGGUUUUAGGAAGAAUAGGAAUUCUCCGGAUAAGGUGUGACUACCACUCCCGUCCACACUCAUACUCCCUCACACUCAUUACUCACACAUCCGUGCACCCACACAGCUGGUAUUUCAUCCCAUGCAGUUCAACCCAGCAAGCUGCCUUUGUCCUGUCUUUGUGUCUCUGAGUCUGUGCCCCAUCUCAUUGGGAGAUGACAGCAAGAGUCUAUCUUUGAAGUCCUUUGGGAAUGUGUGGCUUGGGCUGUAUCUCCUCCUGGCCUCCUAAACUGGGCUUGCCUGUAGACCACCUGCAUUGGCAUGCCAACUCUGCUACUUAUUGACUAGGACGAAGAGAAAAAAGCAAAGUUGAAGGCGAUUGCUUUGGUCUGUUGCUCGGUGGUGAAAUGAAGAUGAAUGUGGCAUUGAGAAGACAGGCAAAGAAAGCACCAAUGUGGUCAGGACCAAGACAGUCAGGAAAUCUGGGCCUCCUUGCAGCAGUGGUGGCUGAGUGGUCCAGUUCUAUUGAGGAAACCCAAAUGGAAACCUCUGUGUGUAGGGAAAUGCUUCUGGGGAAAGGCUGGCUUUCCUGAUUGAAGGGGUCUUCCGGCUGUGAAACAUCUCGCCGCUGUGAGAGAAGGCCAAGACAGCUGCAGCAUGGGAGCCCUGACAUCUGUGAACAACUGAACCAACCCCAGCAAGAGCUAAUAUCUGGAAUUCUUGGAAGGUGAAGAAUUUUCUAGACACCAAAGAAAGCCCUGGUAUAUAUAUAUAUAUUUUAUUGUUUUGAGAUGGAGUCUUGCUCUGUCACCCAUGCUGGAGUACAGUGUCACAAUCUCAGCUCACUGCAACUGCCACCUCCUGGGUUCAAGUGAUUCUUCUGCCUCAGCCUCCCAAGUAUCUGGAAUUACAGGUGUCCACUACCACGCCUGGUUAAUUUUUGUAUUUUUAGUGGAGUGAGGGGUUUCACCAUGUUGGCCAGGCUGGUCUCAAACUCCUGACCUCAAGUGAUCCACCUGCCUUGGCCUCUCGAAGUGCUGGGAUUACAAAUGUGAGCCACUGUGCCCAGCCUCUGACAUCUUUGAGCAGCUGAACCACACCAGCUGUGGUCAACCUCCAGACUCUGUGUAAUUGGAGGAAAUUUAACCUCUGUUUAUGUUCCUAUUAUUGUUUUGUUAUUUUGCAGUUUAACAGAUUAGACCCAAUGGGAUUAUUUUGAGAGUUGGAGCCAUCUGGGAAGCAUGGCUCAACUGGUUUGGGUGGGUGAAGACACAGGGGUUUCCCAACAACCUGAGUCAAGCUCUGUGGAUAUAGCUGGGAGAUUGUGUCAAAGAGGCUGAGGGUUAAUUCCCUGCUUCCACCCUUGGGGAAGAAUGACAUCCAGUCAGGCAUGGGGAACAUUCAUCCUUGGGAAGAAGAAUGACAUCCUUCUUAACUCUGAUUAGGCAGGUUCAACAAACAAGCUUUCUCUAAAAUAAAAUGAUGUUGAUGAUGAUGGUGGUGGUGAUGAUUAUGAUGGUGAUAAUGGUGAUGGUGGUAAUGAUGAUGGUAAUAAUGAUGGUAGUGGUGGUGAUGAUGGAAGUGAUGAUGACACUGAUAAUGGU
This is a long non-coding RNA of Callithrix jacchus (white-tufted-ear marmoset), 2968 nucleotides long. RefSeq lists it as uncharacterized. The record is from RefSeq and is a predicted model, not a curated record. NCBI's taxonomy places the organism in Eukaryota, Metazoa, Chordata, Mammalia, Primates, Cebidae.